CUGCAUCCCUGCGUGGUAAAGCCUAAUGUUUGGGUACUGACAAGCCCAACUGCGCGAGUAGGUCUGGAAGGAUUAAAAGGCAGCUAAGAGUGCCUCGGUAGGAGAGGAUCCUUAGCUUGUAGGGGGCUGUAAUAGAUGACUGGAGGAACUUGAUGGCCUCUUUAACAUCUGAGCUUUACAUUGAUUCUCUCCACUCAACUAUAAAGACCUUCUCUCCAGCCUUGGUGCCAUACGAGUCCAAGUGCCUUGGAGCGUCAGUGGUUCCACCUGAAGGGAGCUGUUGUGGUGGCACAAGAUGAGGUAUGGGAGGUGAGGACUCAGCAUGCAAAGUGCAUAAUCCAAGUGGGGAAA
Molecule: non-coding RNA, 351 nt
Organism: Electrophorus electricus (electric eel)
Lineage: Eukaryota; Metazoa; Chordata; Actinopteri; Gymnotiformes; Gymnotidae
Source: RefSeq, a predicted model, not a curated record